RNAcentral lists this ribosomal RNA (810 nucleotides) under Triticum aestivum (bread wheat). RNAcentral's name for it is "partial small subunit ribosomal RNA". The record is from RNAcentral. Lineage: Eukaryota; Viridiplantae; Streptophyta; Magnoliopsida; Poales; Poaceae.
AUGAACCCUUCCUCUGCACCGGGACCGGAUGGCCUCCCGAUUAAAUUUUUCCAGACCUUAUGGAACGUGAUUAAACUAGAGGUCAUGACCAUCUUCGACGAGUUCUACGUUGGCUCCAUCGAUCUAGGGCGUCUCAAUUACGGGAUCAUAUCUCUCAUCCCCAAGGUCCCUGGGGUGUCUGACAUUCGCCAGUUUCGCCCGAUCACGGUUAUUAAUGUGAUCUUCCGGAUCCUGGCCAAGGGGUACGCCAAUAGGGUGACCCUGCUGGCCGACCGUGUGACUCACCCCAACCAGUCGGCCUUCAUUAAGGGCCGGUACAUCUUGGAUGGGGUCCUCGUCCUUCAUGAAGUCCUGCAUGAGGUGCGCGUCAAACGCCUCAAGGCGGUUUUCCUGAAGAUUGACUUCCACAAGGCCUACAAUACAGUUAGCUGGCCCUUCCUCCGGGAGGUCCUUCUUCGGAAGGGUUUCGACGACCGGUGGAUCACUACAGUCAUGCAGAUGGUCUCUUGCGGUAGCAUGGCCGUGAACAUCAAUGGUGAGAUUGGCCCUUUCUUCCCCACCCUUUGUGGGGUUCGGCAAGGCAACCCCUUCUCCCCGUUCUGGAUAAGGCGAAAGCCGCUGGACAUAUUCGUGGGAUUACUCCCCACCUUGCCGGUGGCUUUGGGAUCUCCAUCCUCCAAUAUGCUGACGACACUAUCAUCAUGGUCGAAGGCUCGGAGACGGACAUCUCCAACCUCAAGUUCCUCCUUCUCUGCUUCCAACAGAUGUCGAGCCUCAAGAUCAACUUCGACAAGAGUGAUGUUAUGGUGA